RNAcentral lists this ribosomal RNA (814 nucleotides) under uncultured bacterium. RNAcentral's name for it is "bacterial SSU rRNA". It matches the Rfam family "Bacterial small subunit ribosomal RNA", at positions 561 to 1372 of the family's 1533-position model. The record is from RNAcentral.
GUAAGGACGCGUAGGCGGGAUGCCAAGUCUGAUGUGAAAUCCUAUGGCUUAACCAUAGAACUGCAUUGGAAACUGGUAACCUAGAGUAUGGGAGGGGGAGAUGGAAUUAGUGGUGUAGGGGUAAAAUCCGUAGAUAUCACUAGGAAUACCGAAAGCGAAGGCGAUCUCCUGGAACAAUACUGACGCUAAGGCGUGAAAGCGUGGGGAGCAAACGGGAUUAGAUACCCCGGUAGUCCAUGCCCUAAACGAUGAACACUAGUCGUCGGAAUGCUAGUCAUUUCGGUGAUGCACUUAACAGAUUAAGUGUUCCGCCUGGGGAGUACGGUCGCAAGAUUAAAACUCAAAGGAAUAGACGGGGACCCGCACAAGUGGUGGAGCAUGUGGUUUAAUUCGAAGAUACGCGAAGAACCUUACCUAGCCUUGACAUUGAUUGAACACUUUAGAGAUAGAGUGGUGCCCUUCGGGGAGCAUGAAAACAGGUGCUGCACGGCUGUCGUCAGCUCGUGUCGUGAGAUGUUGGGUUAAGUCCCGCAACGAGCGCAACCCUCGUCCUUAGUUGCCAGCAGGUUAAGCUGGGUACUCUAAGGAGACUGCCUUCGCAAGGAGGAGGAAGGUGAGGACGACGUCAAGUCAUCAUGGCCCUUAUGGCUAGGGCUACACACGUGCUACAAUGGGGCGUACAGAGUGUUGCGAUACCGCGAGGUGGAGCUAAUCACUUAAAGCGUCUCUCAGUUCGGAUUGGAGUCUGCAACUCGACUCCAUGAAGCUGGAAUCACUAGUAAUCGUAGAUCAGCAAUGCUACGGUGAAUACGUU